RNAcentral lists this ribosomal RNA (477 nucleotides) under uncultured bacterium. Its description in RNAcentral is "bacterial SSU rRNA". It matches the Rfam family "Bacterial small subunit ribosomal RNA", at positions 365 to 832 of the family's 1533-position model. The record is from RNAcentral.
UUCGCAAUGCCCGAAAGGGUGACGAAGCGACGCCGCGUGUGGGAAGAAGGCCUUCGGGUUGUAAGCCACUGUCGGGAGUUAAGAAAUGCAAGGAUAUGAAUAGUGUCUUUGCUUGACUAAGGCUCCGGAGGAAGCCACGGCUAACUCUGUGCCAGCAGCCGCGGUAAUACAGAGGCGGCAAGCGUUGUUCGGAAUUAUUGGGCGUAAAGAGCACGUAGGCGGCUAUGUAAGUCGGUUGUGAAAGCCUUCCGCUCAACGGAAGAACAGCAUCCGAUACUACAUGGCUUGAGUGCGGGAGGGGAGAGUGGAACUUCUGGUGGAGCGGUGAAAUGCGUAGAUAUCAGAAGGAACGCCGGCGGCGAAAGCGGCUCUCUGGCCCAUAACUGACGCUGAGUGUGCGAAAGCUAGGGGAGCAAACGGGGUUAGAUACCCCGGUAGUCCUAGCCGUAAACGAUGGGCACUAAGUAGAGGGGUUUU